This 565-nucleotide long non-coding RNA is filed under the name Capsicum annuum. RNAcentral describes it as "long non-coding RNA (CANN_LNC002172)". Lineage: Eukaryota; Viridiplantae; Streptophyta; Magnoliopsida; Solanales; Solanaceae. The record is from RNAcentral.
UUUCAAUGAAAGUGGAUAGUAUGGGUAAUGAAAUAGAAAAGCUAAAGACUAAUGAAGAUAAACUGAAGUCUGUAGCUACAAAUCAGCUAACUCAGCAGUGUGCAGAGCUAUGUCGAUCGGAAGACAUUAAAGUUCCAGAGCUAGAAGGAGACGAUGGGACACUCCAUAAAACCCAUAACAUUUAUCAAUCUACUUCUGCAGGUACAAGCAAAGGAGUUAGGAAAAACACAAAUAUGAACCUAAACAAGCUAUUUGAUAAACCAUAUAUACCAAAUACAUCAAAAGAUCCCAUGUUUAUACCCCCACAAAUUACCACAUACCGAGAUAGUUUAAACCAAGACAAAAAGACUUACAACUACACAGCCCGGACUAAUGAAGUUAAAUUGAAGUCUAUAGCUACAAAUCAGCUAACUCAGCAGUGUGCAGAGCUACGUCGAUUGGAAAACAUUAAAAUUUCAGAGCUAGAAGGAGACGUUGGGACACUCCGUAAAACCCAUAACGUUUAUCAAUCUACAAUUGCAGGUACAAGCAAAGGAGUUAUUGGACAAAGAUACCAUAAUAUGAA